UAUUGGACAAUGGGCGCAAGCCUGAUCCAGCAAUGCCGCGUGUGUGAAGAAGGCCUGCGGGUUGUAAAGCACUUUAAGCAGGGAAGAAAAGUGGGGGGCUAAUACCCUCUCGCGUUGACGUUACCUGCAGAAUAAGCACCGGCUAACUCCGUGCCAGCAGCCGCGGUAAUACGGAGGGUGCGAGCGUUAAUCGGAAUUACUGGGCGUAAAGCGCGCGUAGGCGGUUUGUUAAGUCAGCUGUGAAAGCCCUGGGCUUAACCUGGGAACGGCAGUUGAUACUGGCAGGCUAGAGUGUGGUAGAGGGGUGUGGAAUUUCCGGUGUAGCAGUGAAAUGCGUAGAGAUCGGAAGGAACACCAGUGGCGAAGGCGGCACCCUGGACCAACACUGACGCUGAGGUGCGAAAGCGUGGGGAGCAAACAGGA
RNAcentral lists this ribosomal RNA (423 nucleotides) under uncultured bacterium. Its description in RNAcentral is "bacterial SSU rRNA". It matches the Rfam family "Bacterial small subunit ribosomal RNA", at positions 362 to 777 of the family's 1533-position model. The record is from RNAcentral.